This 606-nucleotide ribosomal RNA is filed under the name Aspergillus cervinus. Its description in RNAcentral is "SSU rRNA". It matches the Rfam family "Eukaryotic small subunit ribosomal RNA", at positions 594 to 1206 of the family's 1831-position model. Lineage: Eukaryota; Fungi; Ascomycota; Eurotiomycetes; Eurotiales; Aspergillaceae. The record is from RNAcentral.
AUAUGAAGCACUCAUGUUGUUGCAGUUAAAAGCUCGUAGUUGAACCUUGGGUCUGGCUGGCCGGUCCGCCUCACCGCGAGUACUGGUCCGGCUGGACCUUUCCUUCUGGGGAAUCUCAUGGCCUUCACUGGCUGUGGGGGGAACCAGGACUUUUACUGUGAAAAAAUUAGAGUGUUCAAAGCAGGCCUUUGCUCGAAUACAUUAGCAUGGAAUAAUAGAAUAGGACGUGCGGUUCUAUUUUGUUGGUUUCUAGGACCGCCGUAAUGAUUAAUAGGGAUAGUCGGGGGCGUCAGUAUUCAGCUGUCAGAGGUGAAAUUCUUGGAUUUGCUGAAGACUAACUACUGCGAAAGCAUUCGCCAAGGAUGUUUUCAUUAAUCAGGGAACGAAAGUUAGGGGAUCGAAGACGAUCAGAUACCGUCGUAGUCUUAACCAUAAACUAUGCCGACUAGGGAUCGGACGGUGUUUCUAUUAUGACCCGUUCGGCACCUUACGAGAAAUCAAAGUUUUUGGGUUCUGGGGGGAGUAUGGUCGCAAGGCUGAAACUUAAAGAAAUUGACGGAAGGGCACCACCAAGCGUGGAGCCGGCGGCUUAAUUUGACUCCCGCC